AAACCAUAGCUCCCAUCUGGGACUGUACUGGGCAUCGCCGACGGCGUAGCCUCAAAGACAUUGGUCUAAUCAAGCGGACGAGUUCCUUUAGGACGGACCGUUGGGUUGACCUUAAACCUCUG
Molecule: unclassified non-coding RNA, 122 nt
Filed under: Archaeorhizomyces borealis
Lineage: Eukaryota; Fungi; Ascomycota; Archaeorhizomycetes; Archaeorhizomycetales; Archaeorhizomycetaceae
Also listed under: 1 other name
Description: sequence contains ITS2
Source: RNAcentral